GUCUAUGGCCCUACUACCCUGAUUGCCCCCAAUCUUGUCUGGUCUCAGAAGCUAAGCAGGGUCAGGCCUGGUUAGUACUUGGAUGGGAGAAAGAUCUUCAGAAGAGACUGCUCAGAGACAGUUUGGAGACAAAGAGG
Ribosomal RNA from Castor canadensis (American beaver), 137 nucleotides. The record is from Ensembl. NCBI's taxonomy places the organism in Eukaryota, Metazoa, Chordata, Mammalia, Rodentia, Castoridae.